GAUGAACGCUGGCGGCGUGCCUAAUACAUGCAAGUCGAGCGAACAGACGAGGAGCUUGCUCCUCUGACGUUAGCGGCGGACGGGUGAGUAACACGUGGAUAACCUACCUAUAAGACUGGGAUAACUUCGGGAAACCGGAGCUAAUACCGGAUAAUAUAUUGAACCGCAUGGUUCAAUAGUGAAAGACGGUUUUGCUGCCACUUAUAGAUGGAUCCGCGCCGCAUUAGCUAGUUGGUAAGGUAACGGCUUACCAAGGCAACGAUGCGUAGCCGACCUGAGAGGGUGAUCGGCCACACUGGAACUGAGACACGGUCCAGACUCCUACGGGAGGCAGCAGUAGGGAAUCUUCCGCAAUGGGCGAAAGCCUGACGGAGCAACGCCGCGUGAGUGAUGAAGGUCUUCGGAUCGUAAAACUCUGUUAUUAGGGAAGAACAAAUGUGCAAGUAACUAUGCACGUCUUGACGGUACCUAAUCAGAAAGCCACGGCUAACUACGUG
This 497-nucleotide ribosomal RNA is filed under the name uncultured bacterium. RNAcentral's name for it is "partial 16S ribosomal RNA". It matches the Rfam family "Bacterial small subunit ribosomal RNA", at positions 28 to 507 of the family's 1533-position model. The record is from RNAcentral.